AAGUCGUAACAAGGUUUCCGUAGGUGAACCUGCGGAAGGAUCAUUACCAAAUUUUCCCCUUGUACCAAAUUUUAUCCUACACCAUGUGUGAACUGUCUAGAUAUCCUCACUUGGCCUGUUGUUGUGAUGGGCCAAGUGUGUUUAAACCCCUGUCUAACUUUUGAGCAUUUUUCUGCGCCUUUUUUUCCAUGUAGCACGCAAGUGUUAUGGUGGGGGAAUAGCGGCGAUAAAGAAAUUACAUAAAACAACUUUUAACGGUGGAUCUCUUGGCUCGC
This 275-nucleotide unclassified non-coding RNA is filed under the name fungal sp. RNAcentral describes it as "partial internal transcribed spacer region". The stretch from base 1 to 46 matches the Rfam family "Eukaryotic small subunit ribosomal RNA", at positions 1786 to 1831 of the family's 1831-position model. Lineage: Eukaryota; Fungi. The record is from RNAcentral.